AUUGUCCAAAAAUACAGUAUUUUAGUGUACUCAAGAAUCUGUAGAGAUUAUUAAAAGUGAGAGAUUUUGGAGCAGGAGUAGCUACAAUAUAAGCAUAAUAAACAAUAUCACAAUGUAAACAUUAAAGUAUCCCAUAAAUGAUGAUGUUAUAAAGUUUUUGUUUAUUUGUAUAUUCCUAAUGAUGCCAUUAAUUGCUUAAUUUUCCUGAAAAUUACCAUGCUGUUGUAAUUCUUUCAAGAUUUCUGGCAGCGAUUUGUAUUCAAACAUGAAGUAAAAGGAUGCAGCAGUGCCAUAUAUGUAGCCAAAGGCUACUCCUCCUUUUUGAAGAAAUCUAACUUACUGCUAACUUACUGCUACAUCCACACCUGGGAUACUUGCCCUCUCUAAAACCAUGUGGAACAGCAAGAGAUUAAUCUCUACUUUUCAAUGUCUAAAUGAGACAGCUCUGCUUUUUCCUGUCAUUUACCAGGGCAUCUUGCAUGAGUCCCAUCUUGAGUCUCAGACUUUGCUUUUUCUAUUUACCACCUCAGCUGAUAACUAUGGUUUCCCUUCUACGCUUUUCAGGGUCUUUAGGACAUGCCUUCCGAUUGCUUUUGAAGACAGUACUAAUACUGGCUACCCACCUGGUAUCUUUGCUUUCUCUACUGAGCUCACCAUCAAGAGGUGCUUUUACUCAGGCUGUUUGCCAAAGGUGGUCCAUAAGAACACCCCCACACCUUCCUAGCAGGCUUCUAUUUUGUACCCUUCCCACUGUAAAUGUGAAAGCUUCAGGUACAAUGGCAACAGCCAAUUUGGAUGUCGGCAAAAAAGAGAAAGACAGAGUUGUGGGGUAAUAAAUUGAAGUCUAAGGACCCAAAUCCGUCAAAUCAGAAACCUGCUGGAAGAAUUCUGUGCUUGUCAACAUUUUUGUGAACUGUUCCAGAAUGUGAAUGUUAGCUGAUUCAUUUCAAACUGUUUCAGACAAUGUUGUUUGAAGCUGUUUUUCUCAGAAAGGCAAUGGAAUAUUUUGAAAGGAAUAUUACUGGAAGCCUGAUGUAUUUUUCAUAGGCUGAGAAAUUAAAAAAAAAAAAAAAAAAAAAUACAGCAAUCUGGACAGAUCUUGUUUUGGUCAAUAUUAUUUUGUUUGCACUUCUAGCCUUCUCUUAAUUUGUUUUGAUUACUUGUUUUAAACACUUAAUCAUCCUUAAUGAUGAUAUUUGAACCUUGUGUCAGAAUUGGUUGCAUUUUAUUAGUGUUCUUCAGACAAUCCAGAAUUUCAUCUCUAUCCCAGACUUUUCUCUAACCUGAGAUAUUCUGCAUCUCCGCAGUGCAAUACCUCUCAGAAAUAUCAAAUAGUUAGGCUUUGUCAAAAAAAAAAAAAAAAAAAAAAGGCAUGUAUAUUUUACUUUUCCUUGCCUGAAACUUUUGUCUGGGGGGAGAAAAAAAUAUCACAUUAUAUCCUAGGCAGACAGAAUCAUAUAAAUAACUACAAAAUGUCUUUCAGAAAUUGGAACUUGCUUUUUAAGCAGCAACUGAUUCCUAACUUUAAUAAUGGAGGAUGCUCUGAACAUACUAUUCAUAGUUAAAUACUAUUACUGGAAGAUUAUUUGUGAGUCUGUAAUAAAAGAUCUAAAGUUAGGCUCA
Phasianus colchicus (ring-necked pheasant) is the source of this 1623-nucleotide long non-coding RNA. The record is from Ensembl. NCBI's taxonomy places the organism in Eukaryota, Metazoa, Chordata, Aves, Galliformes, Phasianidae.